AGCUUUUUAGUUUAUUUUAAAAUGUGCGCUUGUGGUGCGUUAGAAUUUAGAGGCUU
RNAcentral lists this transfer RNA (56 nucleotides) under Skrjabinisakis physeteris. RNAcentral describes it as "Anisakis physeteris tRNA-His". Lineage: Eukaryota; Metazoa; Nematoda; Chromadorea; Rhabditida; Anisakidae. The record is from RNAcentral.